GUGCCAGCCGCCGCGGUAAUACGUAGGGUGCGAGCGUUAAUCGGAAUUACUGGGCGUAAAGCGUGCGCAGGCGGUUCUGCAAGUCAGAUGUGAAAGCCCCGGGCUCAACCUGGGAAUGGCAUUGGAAACUGGUCAGCUGGAGUGUGGCAGAGGGGGGUGGAAUUCCGCGUGUAGCAGUGAAAUGCGUAGAGAUGCGGAGGAACACCGAUGGCGAAGACAGCCCCCUGGGCCAACACUGACGCUCAGGCACGAAAGCGUGGGGAGCAAACAGGAUUAGAUACCCCUGUAGUCC
RNAcentral lists this ribosomal RNA (292 nucleotides) under uncultured bacterium. RNAcentral describes it as "partial 16S ribosomal RNA". It matches the Rfam family "Bacterial small subunit ribosomal RNA", at positions 505 to 796 of the family's 1533-position model. The record is from RNAcentral.